GCAGCAGCCGCGGUAAUACGAAGGGGGCUAGCGUUGUUCGGAAUUACUGGGCGUAAAGGGCGCGUAGGCGGCCAUUCAAGUUAGAUGUGAAAGCCCUGGGCUCAACCUAGGAAUUGCACUUGAUACUGUUUGGCUUGAGUUCGGGAGAGGUGAGUGGAAUUCCCAGUGUAGAGGUGAAAUUCGUAGAUAUUGGGAAGAACACCAGUGGCGAAGGCGGCUCACUGGACCGACACUGACGCUGAGGCGCGAAAGCGUGGGAGCAAACAGGAUUAGAUACCCGUGUAGUCCCUGUCUCUUAUACA
RNAcentral lists this ribosomal RNA (302 nucleotides) under uncultured bacterium. RNAcentral's name for it is "partial 16S ribosomal RNA". It matches the Rfam family "Bacterial small subunit ribosomal RNA", at positions 508 to 808 of the family's 1533-position model. The record is from RNAcentral.